GCCAGGCAUGGUGGUGCAUGCCUAUAGUCCCACUACUUGGGAGGCUGAGGCAGGGGGAUUGCUUGAGCCCAGGAGUUUGAGGCUGCAGGGAGUUAUAAUUGUAUCACUGCACUUCAACCAGGGCAACAGAGCAAAACCCUGUCUCAU
Unclassified non-coding RNA from Callithrix jacchus (white-tufted-ear marmoset), 147 nucleotides. It matches the Rfam family "Metazoan signal recognition particle RNA". From Rfam's summary of the family: The signal recognition particle (SRP) is a universally conserved ribonucleoprotein. It is involved in the co-translational targeting of proteins to membranes. The eukaryotic SRP consists of a 300-nucleotide 7S RNA and six proteins: SRPs 72, 68, 54, 19, 14, and 9. NCBI's taxonomy places the organism in Eukaryota, Metazoa, Chordata, Mammalia, Primates, Cebidae. The record is from Ensembl.